GAUACCGUGGCAGAAUGGUAAAUGCGCCUAUUUGUUAACGGGUAGAUUGCAGGUUCGAGUCCUGUCGGUAUCACAA
Molecule: transfer RNA, 76 nt
Filed under: Bacteroides sp. CAG:633
Lineage: Bacteria; Pseudomonadati; Bacteroidota; Bacteroidia; Bacteroidales; Bacteroidaceae
Description: transfer RNA-Asn(GTT)
Rfam family: tRNA
About the family: Transfer RNA (tRNA) molecules are approximately 80 nucleotides in length. Their secondary structure includes four short double-helical elements and three loops (D, anti-codon, and T loops).
Source: RNAcentral